AAAAAAAAAGAGGAGAAACAGAUGCUUCUGAUUGUUUUUUAGUGCAUUUUCAUAAAAUCUUCUAAAUGUUUAAUUCUCAUAGAAUAAAAGGGAGAGUAUACGUUUGAAUCUCAGCAGAUUUUAUUAAUUCUUUGAAACCAUAAAUACAAUAUGAGUAUUACAUCAAUUUUAGUUCAUACAUGUAACAACAUAUUAUUCUGCACGUAACAAUGAGUUCUGGGGCUUGAAACACUCGAGAUUAGAAAUUUUGAUUAAUAUUUCACAUUACGACUGGACGCUUGUUCUAAUAUCUUUUGUACGAGAUACACUAUACAUACACAAGAUCAAAAUGGAAUUUCGAAACGGUCGUAUCGUUCAACAAAAAUCUCUUUUAUCUUUGAUUCUCUUCAUAAAAAUGCAAUUCUCCUUUACAGAAC
Molecule: unclassified non-coding RNA, 416 nt
Filed under: Bombus terrestris (buff-tailed bumblebee)
Lineage: Eukaryota; Metazoa; Arthropoda; Insecta; Hymenoptera; Apidae
Description: misc RNA ENSBTSG00005026957.1
Source: RNAcentral